AGAAUACAGAGAGGGGACUAGUCCUAUCGAAGAGUAGCAUCUUCAGAGGCCUUGCAGCAAUAGACGAGAGUAGAGCAAGCAACACAUAUAUAAUCAUAUUGUUGCAGCAAUUUUGAUAUGAGGUCAUGCCCAAAGAUCCUUCCUUGACUCCCUGCAAGAAAGCAAUCCCGGAGCAAACAUUCUAGUUAAAUAACAGUUGUAGUUGUAUGAUAUCGGGGCACAACUCCAAAUCGUCUUAUAACCGUGGACACGGCUAUUCGAAUAGUUAAAUUUUCAUCCCUGCAAGGGUGCACCACAGUACCCAACAUGCUUGAUAAACUCUGGCCGGACAUACUUUCCUGGGUCAUGCCCGGCCCCGGAACAUCAACACAUCGCAGCCCUCCCUAGACUCAAUAGAGUGUCCAGCCCGCCGGUCUAAAUCCUAAGCGCGCAAGGGUCAUUGGCCCAUCACCCUUUGCGCUCAUGCAUGAUGCAUGGGCGACCGAUGUCAGUCCUCGCACCUCUUAUACAAGAACAAUGCUUAUCUAGACCAUUCAGGCACGUGCCACUCCAUUGCUGACGUUUGAAGAGCUUCGACUGAUACCACGACGUUGAGUACCCAUAACUUCUCCCACGUGAAGGUUAGUGCGAAAAGGUCUCCCAGCCAACUCAGAUCAAAUACCCAAAUGUAUUAGCAUUUUAAUUAACUCAUCGUCACAUCCACACGGGAAUACACACGCAACACACCAUUCA
RNAcentral lists this long non-coding RNA (732 nucleotides) under Hordeum vulgare. RNAcentral describes it as "long non-coding RNA (HVUL_LNC018813)". Lineage: Eukaryota; Viridiplantae; Streptophyta; Magnoliopsida; Poales; Poaceae. The record is from RNAcentral.